This 351-nucleotide long non-coding RNA is filed under the name Nicotiana benthamiana. Its description in RNAcentral is "long non-coding RNA (NBEN_LNC020534)". The record is from RNAcentral. Lineage: Eukaryota; Viridiplantae; Streptophyta; Magnoliopsida; Solanales; Solanaceae.
GCAACACUCCUUAACGACUGGAUAGCAUGAAGUAUACAAUUUACUCUCAAGAACCAGUAAAACAAUAAUGUAGUAAUUCCUUCUGUCCUUAUAGCUCUGGAUCACCCUAGGAUAUAGUUCAAUUGUCAAAUCCUAAUAGGCGAUCAACUAUGUAUUCACGUCAAAUAUAAUCGACCAUUGAAUGACCUAAGAAACUCAUUUCUUCUUUCAUUCAAUUGCCCUGGCCAAGGUNNNNNCUAUGUAUUCACGUCAAAUAUAAUCGACCAUUGAAUGACCUAAGAAACUCAUUUCUUCUUUCAUUCAAUUGCCUUGGCCAAGGUCUUAGUUUGGUCGUUCAUAAUUCAUGACAAC